GAUAAACGCUGGCGGCGCACAUAAGACAUGCAAGUUGAACGGACUUAAUCGAAAUAUUUAUAUUUUGAAGCGGUUAGUGGCGGACUGGUGAGUAACGCGUAAGGAACCUGCCUAUUAGAGGGGAAUAACAGUGAGAAAUCAUUGCUAAUACCGCAUAUGCCAUAGAUAUCACAUGAUAACAGUGGGAAAGGAGCAAUCCGCUAAUAGAUGGCCUUGCGUCUGAUUAGAUAGUUGGUGGGGUAACGGCCUACCAAGUCGACGAUCAGUAGCCGGACUGAGAGGUUGAACGGCCACAUUGGGACUGAGAUACGGCCCAGACUCCUACGGGAGGCAGCAGUCGGGAAUAUUGCGCAAUGGAGGAAACUCUGACGCAGUGACGCCGCGUAUAGGAAGAAGGUUUUCGGAUUGUAAACUAUUGUCGUUAGGGAAGAGAAAGGACAGUACCUAAGGAGGAAGCUCCGGCUAACUUCGUG
RNAcentral lists this ribosomal RNA (473 nucleotides) under uncultured bacterium. RNAcentral describes it as "partial 16S ribosomal RNA". It matches the Rfam family "Bacterial small subunit ribosomal RNA", at positions 28 to 507 of the family's 1533-position model. The record is from RNAcentral.